This 292-nucleotide ribosomal RNA is filed under the name uncultured bacterium. Its description in RNAcentral is "partial 16S ribosomal RNA". The record is from RNAcentral.
GGACUACUGGGGUAUCUAAUCCUGUUUGCUCCCCACGCUUUCGUGCCUCAGCGUCAGUAUCGGGCCAGUGAGCCGCCUUCGCCACUGGUGUUCUUGCGAAUAUCUACGAAUUUCACCUCUACACUCGCAGUUCCACUCACCUCUCCCGAACUCAAGAUCCUCAGUAUCAAAGGCAGUUCUGGAGUUGAGCUCCAGGAUUUCACCCCUGACUUAAAGACCCGCCUACGCACCCUUUACGCCCAGUGAUUCCGAGCAACGCUAGCCCCCUUCGUAUUACCGCGGCUGCUGGCAC